Long non-coding RNA from Columba livia (rock pigeon), 578 nucleotides. RefSeq lists it as uncharacterized. The record is from RefSeq and is a predicted model, not a curated record. The transcript has 3 exons. Lineage: Eukaryota; Metazoa; Chordata; Aves; Columbiformes; Columbidae.
ACCCCCGGGCUGCCGCCUCGGCCAGGCCCGCGGGCUCGGUUCGGUCCGGCCCGGCGCGGCCGGCGGGGAGCCCGGGGGAGCCCGGGAAGGCGGCGGCGGCGGGGCCCGCUCACGUCGGCGGAAACGCGCUCCGCACUGCCCUGUAUAAAUUUGUGCUGGCACUAACAGAUGUUCGAGGUUGAUAUCUUGGUCCUGCCCUGGAAGGCUUUGUGCAGCCUCUUGGUCCCCACCAGCCUCCGGCUUCUAUGGUUCUUGCAGCGGGGAGGGCAGUUCCCUGUUUUGACAGUGCUGGCCAAAGGGAGGGCAAGAACGAGGGCAACCGUCGGCGAGAGUUGGCAAAGCAAAUCCUGCCGGAUCAGGGCCAGCGGGCUGUGAACGCUCAUCGGCUUCCAGGGGAGUUACUUGGUGCAGAUACAAGCAGAAGGACCUUGCUGUUCUUGACACCAGAAGUGUGAUUCCAAUUUACGAUAAGAGUCAGAGAAAGUAUUCCUGGAGAUUGGUUUGGGCAUAAAAAAAGAAAAAGGGUGUGGGGGGAAGAGUUAAUUUCUUUGUCCACCUUCCUUUUUCAGCUGCCUUCC